Molecule: ribosomal RNA, 652 nt
Filed under: Salmonella enterica
Lineage: Bacteria; Pseudomonadati; Pseudomonadota; Gammaproteobacteria; Enterobacterales; Enterobacteriaceae
Also listed under: 1 other name
Description: partial 23S ribosomal RNA
Rfam family: Bacterial large subunit ribosomal RNA
Source: RNAcentral
GGUUAAGCGACUAAGCGUACACGGUGGAUGCCCUGGCAGUCAGAGGCGAUGAAGGGCGUGCUAAUCUGCGAUAAGCGCCGGUAAGGUGAUAUGAACCGUUAUAACCGGCGAUACCCGAAUGGGGAAACCCAGUGUGAUUCGUCACACUAUCAUUAACUGAAUCCAUAGGUUAAUGAGGCGAACCGGGGGAACUGAAACAUCUAAGUACCCCGAGGAAAAGAAAUCAACCGAGAUUCCCCCAGUAGCGGCGAGCGAACGGGGAGGAGCCCAGAGCCUGAAUCAGCAUGUGUGUUAGUGGAAGCGUCUGGAAAGGCGCGCGAUACAGGGUGACAGCCCCGUACACAAAAGCGCAUGUGCUGUGAGCUCGAUGAGUAGGGCGGGACACGUGGUAUCCUGUCUGAAUAUGGGGGGACCAUCCUCCAAGGCUAAAUACUCCUGACUGACCGAUAGUGAACCAGUACCGUGAGGGAAAGGCGAAAAGAACCCCGGCGAGGGGAGUGAAAAAGAACCUGAAACCGUGUACGUACAAGCAGUGGGAGCCCCACCACUAAGCCAGUGGUGAACUCCACAUACGCAUCCUUUGCUGAGGAUACGGUUAACGGAGCGAAAGCGACGUUCAACCGCAAAAGAAGCAGAGGGGGCUUAGUGGUGG